CCUACGGGGGACUGCAGUGGGGAAUAUUGGACAAUGGGGGGAACCCUGAUCCAGCCAUGCCGCGUGUGUGAAGAAGGCCCUCGGGUUGUAAAGCACUUUCAGUGAGGAAGAACGCCUGGUGGUUAAUACCCAUCAGGAAAGACAUCACUCACAGAAGAAGCACCGGCUAACUCCGUGCCAGCAGCCGCGGUAAUACGGAGGGUGCGAGCGUUAAUCGGAAUUACUGGGCGUAAAGCGCGCGUAGGUGGCUUGAUAAGCCGGUUGUGAAAGCCCCGGGCUCAACCUGGGAACGGCAUCCGGAACUGUCAAGCUAGAGUGCAGGAGAGGAAGGUAGAAUUCCCGGUGUAGCGGUGAAAUGCGUAGAGAUCGGGAGGAAUACCAGUGGCGAAGGCGGCCUUCUGGACUGACACUGACACUGAGGUGCGAAAGCGUGGGUAGCAAACAGGAUUAGAUACCCCAGUAGUC
Molecule: ribosomal RNA, 465 nt
Filed under: Vreelandella stevensii
Lineage: Bacteria; Pseudomonadati; Pseudomonadota; Gammaproteobacteria; Oceanospirillales; Halomonadaceae
Description: partial 16S ribosomal RNA
Rfam family: Bacterial small subunit ribosomal RNA
Source: RNAcentral